This 543-nucleotide ribosomal RNA is filed under the name Shigella sonnei. RNAcentral's name for it is "partial 23S ribosomal RNA". It matches the Rfam family "Bacterial large subunit ribosomal RNA", at positions 1233 to 1776 of the family's 2925-position model. Lineage: Bacteria; Pseudomonadati; Pseudomonadota; Gammaproteobacteria; Enterobacterales; Enterobacteriaceae. The record is from RNAcentral.
GGAGCGUUCUGUAAGCCUGCGAAGGUGUGCUGUGAGGCAUGCUGGAGGUAUCAGAAGUGCGAAUGCUGACAUAAGUAACGAUAAAGCGGGUGAAAAGCCCGCUCGCCGGAAGACCAAGGGUUCCUGUCCAACGUUAAUCGGGGCAGGGUGAGUCGACCCCUAAGGCGAGGCCGAAAGGCGUAGUCGAUGGGAAACAGGUUAAUAUUCCUGUACUUGGUGUUACUGCGAAGGGGGGACGGAGAAGGCUAUGUUGGCCGGGCGACGGUUGUCCCGGUUUAAGCGUGUAGGCUGGUUUUCCAGGCAAAUCCGGAAAAUCAAGGCUGAGGCGUGAUGACGAGGCACUACGGUGCUGAAGCAACAAAUGCCCUGCUUCCAGGAAAAGCCUCUAAGCAUCAGGUAACAUCAAAUCGUACCCCAAACCGACACAGGUGGUCAGGUAGAGAAUACCAAGGCGCUUGAGAGAACUCGGGUGAAGGAACUAGGCAAAAUGGUGCCGUAACUUCGGGAGAAGGCACGCUGAUAUGUAGGUGAAGUCCCUUGCGG